This 689-nucleotide ribosomal RNA is filed under the name uncultured bacterium. RNAcentral's name for it is "bacterial SSU rRNA". It matches the Rfam family "Bacterial small subunit ribosomal RNA", at positions 39 to 735 of the family's 1533-position model. The record is from RNAcentral.
GCGGCGUGCUUACACAUGCAAGUCGAACGGAAAGGCCCCUUCGGGGUGUACUCGAGUGGCGAACGGGUGAGUAACACGUGGGUGACCUGCCCUGCACUUCGGGAUAAGCCUGGGAAACUGGGUCUAAUACCGGAUAGGACCGCAUCGUGAGGAUGUGGUGGAAAGUUUUUUCGGUGCAGGAUGGGCCCGCGGCCUAUCAGCUUGUUGGUGGGGUAAUGGCCUACCAAGGCGGCGACGGGUAGCCGGCCUGAGAGGGUGGACGGCCACAUUGGGACUGAGACACGGCCCAGACUCCUACGGGAGGCAGCAGUGGGGAAUAUUGCACAAUGGGCGCAAGCCUGAUGCAGCGACGCCGCGUGGGGGAUGAAGGCCUUCGGGUUGUAAACUCCUUUCAUCAUCGACGAAGGGCUCACUUGUUGUGGGUUUGACGGUAGGUGGAGAAGAAGCACCGGCUAACUACGUGCCAGCAGCCGCGGUAAUACGUAGGGUGCGAGCGUUGUCCGGAAUUACUGGGCGUAAAGAGCUCGUAGGUGGUUUGUCGCGUCGUCUGUGAAAUUCCGGGGCUUAACUCCGGGCGUGCAGGCGAUACGGGCAUAACUUGAGUGCUGUAGGGAGACUGGAAUUCCUGUGUACGGUGAAAUGCGCAAAUAUCAGGAGGAACACCGAUGGCGAAGGCAGGUCUCUGGGCA